RNAcentral lists this ribosomal RNA (497 nucleotides) under uncultured bacterium. RNAcentral's name for it is "partial 16S ribosomal RNA". It matches the Rfam family "Bacterial small subunit ribosomal RNA", at positions 28 to 507 of the family's 1533-position model. The record is from RNAcentral.
GAUGAACGCUGGCGGCGUGCCUAAUACAUGCAAGUCGAGCGAACAGAUGAGGAGCUUGCUCCUCUGACGUUAGCGGCGGACGGGUGAGUAACACGUGGAUAACCUACCUAUAAGACUGGGAUAACUUCGGGAAACCGGAGCUAAUACCGGAUAAUAUAUUGAACCGCAUGGUUCAAUAGUGAAAGACGGUUUUGCUGUCACUUAUAGAUGGAUCCGCGCCGCAUUAGCUAGUUGGUAAGGUAACGGCUUACCAAGGCAACGAUGCGUAGCCGACCUGAGAGGGUGAUCGGCCACACUGGAACUGAGACACGGUCCAGACUCCUACGGGAGGCAGCAGUAGGGAAUCUUCCGCAAAGGGCGAAAGCCUGACGGAGCAACGCCGCGUGAGUGAUGAAGGUCUUCGGAUCGUAAAACUCUGUUAUUAGGGAAGAACAAAUGCGUAAGUAACUAUGCACGUCUUGACGGUACCUAAUCAGAAAGCCACGGCUAACUACGUG